AGUGAACGCUGGCGGUAGGCCUAACACAUGCAAGUCGAACGGCAGCACAGUAAGAGCUUGCUCUUACGGGUGGCGAGUGGCGGACGGGUGAGGAAUACAUCGGAAUCUACUUUUUCGUGGGGGAUAACGUAGGGAAACUUACGCUAAUACCGCAUACGACCUACGGGUGAAAGCAGGGGAUCUUCGGACCUUGCGCGAUUGAAUGAGCCGAUGUCGGAUUAGCUAGUUGGCGGGGUAAAGGCCCACCAAGGCGACGGUCCGUAGCUGGUCUGAGAGGAUGGUCGGCCACACUGGAGGUGAGACACGGUCCAGAGUCCUACGGGAGGCAGCAGUGGGGAAGAUUGGACAAUGGGCGGAAGCCUGAACCAGCCAUACCGCGUGGGUGAAGAAGGCCUGCGGGUUGUAAAGCCCUUUUGUUGGGAAAGAAAAGCAGCAGGUUAAUACCCCGCUGUUCGGACGGUACCCAAAGAAUAAGCACCGGCUAACUUCGG
Molecule: ribosomal RNA, 491 nt
Filed under: uncultured bacterium
Lineage: Bacteria
Description: partial 16S ribosomal RNA
Rfam family: Bacterial small subunit ribosomal RNA
Source: RNAcentral